AUGCAGUCGAGCGGUAGCACAGAGAGCUUGCUCUCGGGUGACGAGCGGCGGACGGGUGAGUAAUGUCUGGGAAACUGCCUGAUGGAGGGGGAUAACUACUGGAAACGGUAGCUAAUACCGCAUAAUGUCGCAAGACCAAAGUGGGGGACCUUCGGGCCUCAUGCCAUCAGAUGUGCCCAGAUGGGAUUAGCUAGUAGGUGGGGUAACGGCUCACCUAGGCGACGAUCCCUAGCUGGUCUGAGAGGAUGACCAGCCACACUGGAACUGAGACACGGUCCAGACUCCUACGGGAGGCAGCAGUGGGGAAUAUUGCACAAUGGGCGCAAGCCUGAUGCAGCCAUGCCGCGUGUGUGAAGAAGGCCUUCGGGUUGUAAAGCACUUUCAGCGGGGAGGAAGGCGAUAAGGUUAAUAACCUUGUCGAUUGACGUUACCCGCAGAAGAAGCACCGGCUAACUCCGUGCCAGCAGCCGCGGUAAUACGGAGGGUGCAAGCGUUAAUCGGAAUUACUGGGCGUAAAGCGCACGCAGGCGGUCUGUCAAGUCGGAUGUGAAAUCCCCGGGCUCAACCUGGGAACUGCAUUCGAAACUGGCAGGCUAGAGUCUUGUAGAGGGGGGUAGAAUUCCAGGUGUAGCGGUGAAAUGCGUAGAGAUCUGGAGGAAUACCGGUGGCGAAGGCGGCCCCCUGGACAAAGACUGACGCUCAGGUGCGAAAGCGUGGGGAGCAAACAGGAUUAGAUACCCUGGUAGUCCACGCCGUAAACGAUGUCGAUUUGGAGGUUGUGCCCUUGAGGCGUGGCUUCCGGAGCUAACGCGUUAAAUCGACCGCCUGGGGAGUACGGCCGCAAGGUUAAAACUCAAAUGAAUUGACGGGGGCCCGCACAAGCGGUGGAGCAUGUGGUUUAAUUCGAUGCAACGCGAAGAACCUUACCUGGUCUUGACAUCCACAGAACUUAGCAGAGAUGCUUUGGUGCCUUCGGGAACUGUGAGACAGGUGCUGCAUGGC
This 1002-nucleotide ribosomal RNA is filed under the name Klebsiella pneumoniae subsp. rhinoscleromatis. RNAcentral describes it as "bacterial SSU rRNA". It matches the Rfam family "Bacterial small subunit ribosomal RNA", at positions 55 to 1049 of the family's 1533-position model. The record is from RNAcentral. Lineage: Bacteria; Pseudomonadati; Pseudomonadota; Gammaproteobacteria; Enterobacterales; Enterobacteriaceae.